Molecule: non-coding RNA, 1187 nt
Organism: Macaca mulatta (Rhesus monkey)
Lineage: Eukaryota; Metazoa; Chordata; Mammalia; Primates; Cercopithecidae
Source: RefSeq, a predicted model, not a curated record
ACGUGACGCCGGUGCCAGGCGAACAUGGCGGCGGCCACUGGACCGUUGUUUUGGCUGGGGAAGGAAACCCUGAAGGUGCCUGCCACUGGUGCUCUUUGCCUUGAACCGGCAGCGCCUCUGUGCGCGGCUGCGGAAGAACCCUGCUGUGCAGGCCGCCUCAGUGGUGGUGCGGCCGGGAGGCACCUACACCGGAUCCUCUUUCGCCAGGAGUCCUUCUUUCACUGGGUGUUCGGUGUCACCGAGCCAGGCUGCUACGGCGUCAUCGACGCUGACACUGGGAAGUCGGCCCUGUUUGUGCCCAGGCUUCCUGCCAGCCAUGCCACCUGGAUGGGAAAGAUCCAUUCCAAGGAGCACUUCAAGGAGAAGUAUGCCGUGGACGACGUCCAGGACGCAGAUGAGAUUGCCAGUGUCCUGACGUCACUCCUCCUCACUUUGCAUGGCGUCAACACGGACAGCAGCAGCGUCUGCAGGGAGGCCUCCUUCGAGGGCAUCAGCAAGUUCAAAGUCAGCAACACCAUUCUUCACCCAGAGAUCGUUGAGUGCCAAGUGUUUAAGACGGACAUGGAGCUGGAGGUUCUGCUCUACACCAAUAAAAUCUCCAGUGAGGCCCACCGUGAGAGGACAUUUGCCAAUGACUAAAGAUAUCUUUUAUCAUGACAACUGGGAGUAUGUCACUGGCAUCUAAAGGACAGAGGCUGGAGACACUGCUAAACAUUGAUGAUUGAUUUCUAUAAUUAUAUGGAAGCAUGUGAAAACCCUACUCUUUCCAAGGAUCUGACCAACAAUUACCGCAGGAAAUGUGGUCACCUAAUUUAACUCUUAAACAUCAUCAGCAAGACUAACAGCUUGGAUGCAUCCCAAUUAUUCCCAGAAAUCAAUGGUGUGGUAUCAAGAAUAAUCGAAAACACUUCCACUUAGCUUCGGGAUUCAUUAUAUUUUUUGGUUUACUGUAGAUUCCAAUUAACAUUUUGGUUUAUUCAGGCUGAUUUUAAAAUAUGUUGUCUUAAUUACAUACUCAAACCAGCUAGUCUACAAAUAUGCCUCGUUAGAUAAAAGAGAUAAUAUCCUUGAAUUUGACAUAGUCCUUAAAUUUCUAAGGACUGGUUUACACUGAGACCUAGUUACGUGGUCAUAUGGUUUAGCUGUGUCCCCACCCAAAUCUCAUCUUGAAUUAUAGCUCCCAUAAU